AUUGAACGCUGGCGGCAUGCUUUACACAUGCAAGUCGAGCGGCAGCGCGGGGGCAACCCUGGCGGCGAGCGGCGAACGGGUGAGUAAUGCAUCGGAACGUACCCUGGAGUGGGGGGAUAACGCCGCGAAAGCGGCGCUAAUACCGCAUAUGCUCUGAGGAGGAAAGUGGGGGACCUGCAAGGGCCUCACGCUCUGGGAGCGGCCGAUGUCCGAUUAGCUAGUUGGUGGGGUAAAGGCUUACCAAGGCGACGAUCGGUAGCUGGUCUGAGAGGAUGAUCAGCCACACUGGGACUGAGACACGGCCCAGACUCCUACGGGAGGCAGCAGUGGGGAAUUUUGGACAAUGGGGGCAACCCUGAUCCAGCCAUGCCGCGUGAGUGAAGAAGGCCUCGGUGUAAGACUCUUGUCGGAGAAGUAGCUGCUACA
RNAcentral lists this ribosomal RNA (426 nucleotides) under uncultured bacterium. RNAcentral's name for it is "bacterial SSU rRNA". It matches the Rfam family "Bacterial small subunit ribosomal RNA", at positions 28 to 458 of the family's 1533-position model. The record is from RNAcentral.